CCCCACAAAGGACAAAUGCGGCAUACUUUGACUUUUAUGCCCUCUUUCAAAGUCACUUAUCAAAGUACACUUAGGUCUGUGUCAUUAUCAUGCAGUGUAUUCACUGCUGCACUUCCAAAAUACAUUUUUAAAAGAUAGAGUAUAUAUAUAUUUUCAGGGACAGUUAGAGUUAGUUGUAAUGGUGUAAGUCAGUUGUGUGCCGAAACUGUUCAGGUAGGUCUGUAAAAAGAGGGCAAAAAAGUUAACACUUUGACAUUAUGUAACCAAUACUUUAAAUGCCUGCCUCAAUGCCCUCUCCGGUUGAGGGAUGCAUCUGGUGUAUGCAGAUAUCUCCCCCAUCAAUGACAUAGUUACAUAGUUACAUAGCUGAAAGGAGACUUGCGUCCAUCA
Molecule: non-coding RNA, 390 nt
Organism: Pelobates cultripes (western spadefoot toad)
Lineage: Eukaryota; Metazoa; Chordata; Amphibia; Anura; Pelobatidae
Source: the annotation of a GenBank genome assembly